Culex pipiens pallens (northern house mosquito) is the source of this 712-nucleotide long non-coding RNA. RefSeq lists it as uncharacterized. NCBI's taxonomy places the organism in Eukaryota, Metazoa, Arthropoda, Insecta, Diptera, Culicidae. The record is from RefSeq and is a predicted model, not a curated record. The transcript has 3 exons.
CACGGUCUCACUAGUACUAAUUCAGGUGCCGACGACGACGACAGGCCCAAAGUGGUUACGUGAGACAAACACCACUCUCUUUUUGGCGCUGAAUUCCACAUUGCACGAACAUCGGGCAGCAGCAGCUUGCAAAACUUCGCUGCGGCCGGACUGCUUGGACGGCAGUGCUGUCAGAUUUGGUUGUUGUGAGUUUUGCUUCGAGUAGCUGGAGUUGAGUUGUCACAUUGAUCAUAGCAAGCUGAAAAAUGCUGCAUUGUGGCAAUUUAGUAUAAAACGUCACUUUUCAGUGAUGAAUAGUUAAAUUUUAUCGCAACUAUCUUGCAAAAGUCAUCUACGAAAUCAUUAAUUCAUUUUUAUUUUGCAGAUAAUCACGUGAUUUAGACAAAAGGGCACAAUUCCUCACAACCGGCAGCACUGAAGCGCGAUGCUUGAGCCAAAUUUGUGUGAGUAGGUUUAUGCUGAAUUUAGAUCCCAGUGUCACUCAUUUCUCCUACAUUAUGCUGAAUAACGCACACACACAUAAACAUAUCUAAGAACAGUGCCGAAUUAGGAAGAGCAUCAACCCCGCCAAAAUGCAACUUUUGUUUGUAAACAAAACCUUUUGACCUCUCUCUCACUGCGAGAGUGUAUCAAAACAACACGCAGAAUGAGUGCCACCGGCAGCAGCGAGCAACACUCAUUCUAUCAGUUUUGGCGCGCCGAACAGCUAAAA